GAGAAAGCUUGCUUUCUUGCUGACGAGCGGCGGACGGGUGAGUAAUGUAUGGGGAUCUGCCCGAUAGAGGGGGAUAACUACUGGAAACGGUGGCUAAUACCGCAUAAUGUCUACGGACCAAAGCAGGGGCUCUUCGGACCUUGCACUAUCGGAUGAACCCAUAUGGGAUUAGCUAGUAGGUGGGGUAAAGGCUCACCUAGGCGACGAUCUCUAGCUGGUCUGAGAGGAUGAUCAGCCACACUGGGACUGAGACACGGCCCAGACUCCUACGGGAGGCAGCAGUGGGGAAUAUUGCACAAUGGGCGCAAGCCUGAUGCAGCCAUGCCGCGUGUAUGAAGAAGGCCUUAGGGUUGUAAAGUACUUUCAGCGGGGAGGAAGGUGAUAAGGUUAAUACCCUUGUCAAUUGACGUACCCGCAGAAGAG
This 423-nucleotide ribosomal RNA is filed under the name Proteus mirabilis. Its description in RNAcentral is "bacterial SSU rRNA". It matches the Rfam family "Bacterial small subunit ribosomal RNA", at positions 72 to 489 of the family's 1533-position model. Lineage: Bacteria; Pseudomonadati; Pseudomonadota; Gammaproteobacteria; Enterobacterales; Morganellaceae. The record is from RNAcentral.